This is a long non-coding RNA of Helianthus annuus (common sunflower), 3791 nucleotides long. RefSeq lists it as uncharacterized. The transcript is spliced from 7 exons. The record is from RefSeq and is a predicted model, not a curated record. Lineage: Eukaryota; Viridiplantae; Streptophyta; Magnoliopsida; Asterales; Asteraceae.
ACAAAACCCAAAAAUUUCAUUUCAAAUUUCAAAUCCAGAGCCCUUUUUCAUUUUCGUUUUCUCUCUCCCUCAAAGAUCUGGAUCUGCUCUUCUUUCCUUCUCUCUCUCUCUCUCUUUCAAAUUCCCCCUGGAUCUGCAGGUUCUUCCCUUCUCUGGUUCCAGAGAUGUCGAUGGUGGUGUCACGGAAGAGGUUCGCAACAGAACAACUUUGGUGGAACUCUUGAAGAUCGACGAUGACGGCGGCGGUUAGGGUUCUGGUCGUGAAAUUGAAUUUCAUCUUUGAUGUUCAUCAUUAGAUUUGCUCUUUGCUUUGGAGAUACUAUUCAACGAGAUAGUAAGCCUUCAAUUUCAUAUUCCUUUGUCAAUUUCAUGAUUUAUUUCAUUUAAUGAGGGUAAGUGACACCGUUCUUUUGAUUCUGAACACUAUUUCGUCAUAUAAUCACUGGAUUUCAUUUAUAUUUGUUUGUGUUUUUAAGAUGGAUCUUCGUUUUUUGUUGGUCAUGGUUUAAAGAACAUGUAAUGGUUUGAGAAGAGUUCAAGAUCAAGCUAUUGUUUUGUAGUAUGAAGGUGUGCAUCUUCCACAUAGGUUAGGUUUAAUUUCUGUACAUUAACGGAUUUGACUAUAGUGAUUUGCUGGUAUGCUUUCCGUACAUUAUUCGAUAACUAUGUUUGAAAUAUUUUAUGAUUACACACGUACAUCCUUCAGUUUGUGUCAGCAAACCCAUGAGAUGGUGGGAAAAUACACAUGCUUGAGAUCAAUUAAGCACAAGAUUACGUAGACACAUUAUGAAAUUCAUGGGAUAAAAUCCCAUCUUUUUUUCUAUUCACCUGGUUGUGGUGGUUGUAAAGCUCUACACCCAAAGAUCUGUCAACUGGCUAAGUCAAGCUCUAAAGCAAUUUUCCUCCAAGUGAACUAUGAAGAACUCAAACCCAUGUGUCAAUCUCUCCAUAUUCAUGUUCUGUCUUUCCUCAGAUUCCACAAAGGUCAUGAGGCCAAGAUCUAUAUGCGAUAAGAGUCAUGUGAUUUUUUAUUAUGCCAAACACCCUCUAGCAAAGUGAACUAGAGACUCAUAAAGGUACAAUUCUUAAAGAUUUUAUAUUAUGCCAAACACCCUCUAGCAUCAUGUUUUAUAUUGUAAAUUAGGGGUGUUAAAUGGGUCGUAUUGGCGGGUCAAACCGACACGAAUAUAACAUGUAAUCAGAAUUCCAUAACACAAUCUUUAUAAAAGCAUAAUUGCAAAUUUAGAUGUUUUUUUAAUUAAUUUGUUUUCCUUUUUUAAGUUGAGUGAACUUCCUGAAGCUUAUAAUUUGGGUGCACCUUGUAAUCCUCACAAUGAUCUUCUAAUAUUUGGUGAUUUUUGGUUUAAUUGCACUUCAGAAAAGGAAACUAUAGAUAUGUAAGUGGGGCUGAUGAGAAAAUCUCUAUGCUUUAUUAAAGCCCCAUUGUCUUUUCAAAAAAACAUUACAUCAUGAUGAUCUGCAAGUUGACGUUUAGGUUUUGGCUACAAAUAUGUCUGCUCUUGUCUAUCUCAGAAACCCAUUUAUGUUCAAGCCGUGAGUGAGAUGAGAGACAGAAGUGGCAAUGAAGGCUUAGACUAGGGGUGAGCAUAAGGCCGAGUCUCUGCUGUGUAAGCAGGCCAUAAUCACUUGCGUAAAUAUGACAACACUAUUGAGGCGUAUGUAUUUUAUUUUCAAUCCAUCUUAGCAAUCCUUCUACACUUCAUGAGACUGUUGUGGAAGUGCCCAAUGUAAGAUGGGAAGACAUUGGUGGCCUCGAGAAUGCUAAACGAGAGCUACAAGAGGCAUUAAUAUUUAAUUAUGCUCAUAAGUUCUUAUUACCUGAAAGGACUUUACAGAUGCUUUUUUACUCGAAUUUCGAAGGUGCUGAUUUCAGCCAGUAAUAUGCUUAUCAGGUUUUUUGCUCAUCACUGUAUCAGGGACCGACUCUCAUUUCCGGUUGUUAGUGCACAUUCAAAGAGAAUCUAAUGCUAGACAUUUCGAGGAUUACUCAAUAAACAAGUCCCUUCAUGCCAAAGACUUGAAGUGAUAAAAGAUUGCAGUUUUGCAUCUGGAGAAGAGACCAAACGUUGAGUUGGAUAAAGAGCAAUAUAGAACUAACGGUUGCUACAAAUGGUGGGAACAAGAUUACACGGUAAGCUAAUGCACCAGAUCUGUUUGGAUUUUGCUCUCAUCGGCGGCUGUAAAUGGUGGUUGUCUGCUUAAGCUAGCGAAUCCGACUACUUGACAUGAAUAUUCAAGAUUUGAUUCAAGUUGACUGAUUUCAUAUGGUAUUGUUUUAUAUAGGGGUCUUUUGCUUUAUUCUUAUUAACAUAAAUUUCAAGAAACUAAUGCUCGCAUUGGAUUUGAUUGCAACAUUAGAAACGUUACCUAUUGUCAUGUCGAAAGGAUGUAUUAAAAUCUUUUUUAGUUUUAUUCGCUCAUUUCCAAUUUUAGUUAUCAAGUAAGAGUACACGUGUUCCAAAAUGAAAACACUUUGACUUUAAAAGUCAAACUAUGCAUUUUGUAACGCAAUACAUACAGGUCUAAACCCAUGCUUAUCUUUUUUCUAUGUUUAGAACCAUUAACAUCUUGACUUUGAGAUUAUCAUCCAUAUAAUCAUUUUUAAAGUAUAAUUAACCGAGGAGGUAUGGCCAGGGGUUAGCAGCCUAAAGGACUGGCAUUUCUAUGUUUAGAACCAUUAGCACCGAGCGAUGGUUCCUUCAUAUUCUGUUUCAUGUCAUAUCAACCCUUCGUCUUUUUGUUCAGCCACCAUGAAUUGUUUGCGUAAAGUACAUCACAUUUAUUGACUCUCUGUUCUGCUCUAUGGUUUGGGGCCGGGGUCUGGUUUGGGUUGACUUACUAUUUCCUGUCCUUUUUGCCUGUGGGUGGAUGCGAACGGGUUGGGCUGGAGAUUUGCUCCUUUUGGUAUUAAUAUGGUGAUUUGCUCCUUCUGGUAUUAAUAUGGUGAUUUGCUCCUUAACCUUUCUUUGGUCUUUAGGCGUUUGUACUGUUUCUCAAACCGACUUAAGCCAUAGGGUGAUUCUCAGGGGUCAUUUAUGGAGCUUAUUUUUUAGUCUUGUGUCAGGGAUUGACAUUAGCCAGGGAGACAUAAGGCAGGACCAGCUAGAGGGUAUGCCGUUUCGGGUGGUAUAUAUUAUAUUGAGGAUCGCUAUUAAGGUGGGUCGUAACUGCGUAACUGCUGGCCAAUGAUCAUGUUGCUGCUGAUCUACAACACUUUCAGCUACAGGCUGUGGAAUUAUUCUUUGGGCUGUGUCAAUCUGUUAUGGGUGGAAGGUUGUUGCUGGUAUGGUAUAAACGAGGACUCUUGGCAUACCAAAACUUUGAAUGUAGUUAGGUUUAGCUGUAUGUGGUUCCUAAAGACAGUUAAAAAGCCGGAUUUCUUCUCUCUAUGCUUCAGGGGCAGUUUCGUCUUUACGGGCUGGGACAAUUUAUUUCCGAGUUUGAUGUUUGUUUUCCGGGGUUUCGCCAUGUUAUGUUGUGUGCUCCGAAUUUACCGUAAUGUCCCGAGUUUGUUGCAUUGGUCCGAGUUUGCUGCCAUGAUCCGGGUUUACAGCAGUGUUCUAGGUUUGCUGCCUUGUUCCGGGGUUGCUGUCAUGCUCCGGGAUUACUGUCAGGUCCCGAGCCUUGUCUGGGUUAAUGUAGUGUUAUUAAAGGCCCAUUACAAUGGCCUUGUGCUGUUUUACUUGAAGUUAAUCAUAUUAUACUUUUGCCUUCUGUAUAAUUGAUGCCACAUUACUUCAGUGCAUGAGUUUAUUAUGUUUUUUCUCUAA